This 499-nucleotide ribosomal RNA is filed under the name Eneoptera surinamensis. RNAcentral describes it as "partial 16S ribosomal RNA". It matches the Rfam family "Bacterial large subunit ribosomal RNA", at positions 1833 to 2600 of the family's 2925-position model. The record is from RNAcentral. Lineage: Eukaryota; Metazoa; Arthropoda; Insecta; Orthoptera; Gryllidae.
CUUGAAUUUAGUAAGAAGUCUGGCCUGUCCMCUGGUAUAUGAAGGMCCGCGGUAUUUUGACCGUGCAAAGGUAGCAUAAUCAUUAGUCUUUUAAUUGAAGGCUGGAAUGAAUGGUUUGACGAAACAAUAACUGUCUCUGAAUUAUUAAAUUGAAUUUUAUUUUUAAGUUAAAAAGCUUAAAUGAUAUUAAGGGACGAGAAGACCCUAUAGAUCUUUAUAUUUUUAUUAAUUAAAAUGUAUUGGUUGAUUUUUAUUUAUUUAAUAAUAAUAUUUUGUUGGGGUGACAUAUGAAUAUUUUAACUUCUUAAUUUUUAAUUUUGAUAAAUAAAUAUAAUAUCCUAUAUUAUGGAAUUGAGAUUAAGAUACCUUAGGGAUAACAGCGUAAUUUUGUUGGAGAGUUCUUAUCGAUAAUAAGGAUUGCGACCUCGAUGUUGGAUUAAGAAUAUAAAUUGGUGUAGUAGUUAAUUAUAUUGGUCUGUUCGACCAUUAAAUMCUUACW